This is a non-coding RNA of Schizosaccharomyces pombe (fission yeast), 454 nucleotides long. Lineage: Eukaryota; Fungi; Ascomycota; Schizosaccharomycetes; Schizosaccharomycetales; Schizosaccharomycetaceae. The record is from the annotation of a GenBank genome assembly.
AUCUAAGUUUUGCAUUGAACAAAUGCUAGAUCCAUGAUAGAAUCGCUGUACACAUUCUUUCUUCGUCCGAAGAUCAUACACUAAUACACUUUUAUUUCGACAUCCAGCAAUGACUAAGUUGUCACCCAAAUAUUUAAGACUGAAUACGUCUCCUUUAGAUUGCAAACUUUGCGUUAAUUUUCCCUCUCGAUUAAUUAUUGCAAUUUUUGAGGUGCCACCAACUGCAAAGCCCAUCUCUCCAAUACUUUCUGCACAUAAAGGGGUUUUCAAAAGUUUAAGAGAUCCCCAACGGUAAUUAUUGGAUUCACCCAAUAGCUGGUUAUAAGUAGAUAUAUGAAAUUGUCCCUCAUUCUGCAGAGAAGGAGAUGUAGACCAGAAAAUUUGCAUUGCGUUACAUACCAAAGAAGAAAUGGGAUUAUUAGAGAGGCCUAUCCUUGACAAGGAAAAAUCCUGA